CGGGACGGGUGAGUAACGCGUGGAAAACCUGCCGUAUACUGGGGGAUAACACUUAGAAAUAGGUGCUAAUACCGCAUAAGCGCACAGCUUCGCAUGAAGCAGUGUGAAAAACUCCGGUGGUAUACGAUGGUUCCGCGUCUGAUUAGCUAGUUGGUGAGGUAAAAGCCCACCAAGGCGACGAUCAGUAGCCGGCCUGAGAGGGUGAACGGCCACAUUGGGACUGAGACACGGCCCAGACUCCUACGGAAGGCAGCAG
This 256-nucleotide ribosomal RNA is filed under the name uncultured bacterium. Its description in RNAcentral is "partial 16S ribosomal RNA". It matches the Rfam family "Bacterial small subunit ribosomal RNA", at positions 98 to 354 of the family's 1533-position model. The record is from RNAcentral.